AUUCUUUGCCAUUUGUAGUGAUUUCUUCUAAUGUGUCCUUGCAGUCCAGUUUAUUCCUGUAAAAUAUUUGCUUUGAUUUGUGGAUGAGAUUAAGUAAAGAAUUAGAAUUAUAGUUGCAAGGAUUGUUAUGUGCAAGUGCCAUGUGUGUGAUAUGUGCCUUUUGUAGGCUUUGAUGCUUCUGUCAUUAUUCAUUCAUAUACGAUUUUCAUAGAUAUUGGUUUGACUCCUAUAUUUAUCUGAGCUGUACACAUGUGAGAAACUUGCAUUUAUUUGUAAGUUGUGCUUUAACUUUUAUUGUGCAAAUCUUACUGAUUUCUACUUCCGUUUUAGGACACUGUUUUAGAGCUUGAG
Molecule: unclassified non-coding RNA, 351 nt
Filed under: Hevea brasiliensis (rubber tree)
Lineage: Eukaryota; Viridiplantae; Streptophyta; Magnoliopsida; Malpighiales; Euphorbiaceae
Source: RNAcentral